GAUGAACGCUGGCGGCGUGCCUAAUACAUGCAAGUCGAGCGAACGGACGAGAAGGCUGCCUCCCUGAUUUUAGCGGCGCACGGGUGAGUAACACGUGGAGAACCUACCUAUAAGACUGGGAUAAAUUCGGGAAACCGGUGGUAAUUCCGGAUAAUAUUUUCAACCCCAUGAUUCAAAAGUUAAAGACCGUCUUGCUUUCACUUAUACAUGGAUCCGCGCUGGAUUAGCUAGUUGGUAAGGUAACGGCUUACCAAGGCAACGAUGCAUAGCCGACCUGAGAGGGUGAUCGGCCACACUGGAACUGAGACACGGUCCAGACUCCUACGGGAGGCAGCAGUGGGGAAUCUUGCGCAAUGGGCGAAAGCCUGACGGAGCAACGCCGCGUGAGUGAUGAAGGUCUUCGGAUCGUAAAACUCUGUUAUUAGGGAAGAACAUAUGUGUAAGUAACUGUGCACAUCUUGACGGUACCUAAUCAGAAAGCCCCGGCUAACUCCGUG
RNAcentral lists this ribosomal RNA (497 nucleotides) under uncultured bacterium. RNAcentral describes it as "partial 16S ribosomal RNA". It matches the Rfam family "Bacterial small subunit ribosomal RNA", at positions 28 to 507 of the family's 1533-position model. The record is from RNAcentral.